AACGAACGCUGGCGGCAUGCCUAACACAUGCCAGUCGAACGAGACCUUCGAGUCUAGUGGCGCACGGGUGCGUAACGCGUGGGAACCUGCCCUUAGGUUCGGAAUAACUCCCCGAAAGGGGUGCUAAUACUGGAUAAUGUCUUCGGACCAAAGAUUUAUCGCCUUUGGAUGGGCCCGCGUUGGAUUAGCUAGUUGGUAGGGUAAAAGCCUACCAAGGCGACGAUCCAUAGCUGGUCUGAGAGGAUGAUCAGCCACACUGGGACUGAGACACGGCCCAGACUCCUACGGGAGGCAGCAGUGGGGAAUAUUGGACAAUGGGCGAAAGCCUGAUCCAGCAAUGCCGCGUGAGUGAUGAAGGCCUUAGGGUUGUAAAGCUCUUUUACCCGGGAUGAUAAUGACAGUACCGGGAGAAUAAGCUCCGGCUAACUCCGUG
Molecule: ribosomal RNA, 433 nt
Filed under: uncultured bacterium
Lineage: Bacteria
Description: partial 16S ribosomal RNA
Rfam family: Bacterial small subunit ribosomal RNA
Source: RNAcentral